RNAcentral lists this ribosomal RNA (1216 nucleotides) under uncultured Rhizaria. RNAcentral describes it as "SSU rRNA". It matches the Rfam family "Eukaryotic small subunit ribosomal RNA", at positions 577 to 1804 of the family's 1831-position model. The record is from RNAcentral.
CGGUAAUUCCAGCUCCAAUAGCGUAUACUAAAGUUGUUGCAGUUAAAAAGCUCGUAGUUGGGUUUCUGCGGGGACGGAGCGGCCGGACGCAACUUGCGUCUCGAGCUAGCGCUUUCCCCGCAUCCUGCCGCGAACCGUGCUACCAUUAGUUUGGUGGCGCUGGGGAUCGGCUCGAUUACUUUGAGAAAAAUAGAGUGUUCAAAGCAGGCCACACGCCUUGAAUAAGUUAGCAUGGAAUAAUGACUAAGGACUUUGGUUCUUUUCGUUGGUGUUCGGGACUGAAGUAAUGAUUGAUAGGGACAGUUGGGGCGGUCCGUAUUCCAAAGCGAGAGGUGAAAUUCUUAGACCUUCGGAAGACGAACAGCUGCGAAAGCGUUCCGCAAGGAUGUUCCCUUUGAUCAAGAACGAAAGUUGGGGGAUCGAAGACGAUCAGAUACCGUCGUAGUCUCAACUAUAAACUAUACCAGCUAGGGAUCGGCCAACGUUUAAUUAUUCGACUUGGUCGGCACCUUAUGAGAAAUCAAAGCAUCUGGGUUCCGGGGGGAGUAUGGUCGCAAGGCUGAAACUUAAAGGAAUUGACGGAAGGGCACCACCAGGCGUGGAGCCUGUGGCUUAAUUUGACUCAACACGGGAAAACUUACCAGGUCCAGACAUAGGAAGGAUUGACAGAUUGAUAGCUCUUUCUUGAUUCUGUGGGUGGUGGUGCAUGGCCGUUUUUAGUCGGUGAAGUGAUUUGUCUGCUUAAUUGCGUUAACGGACGAGACCCCAGCCUGCUAAAUAGCGCGGCCGAGCUUUGCUCGGUACGAGCUUCUUAGAGGGACCAUGAUGCGCGAUAGCACAAGGAAGUUUGGGGCAACAACAGGUCUGUGAUGCCCUUAGAUGUUCUGGGCCGCACACGGGCUACACUGGCGCCUGCAACGAGCAUGUCAGCUGGCCCGAGAGGGUCUUGGCUAAUCUUUGGAACCGGCGCCGUGCUUGGGAUUGACCAUUGCAAUUGUUGGUCAUGCAACGAGGAAUGCCUUGUAAACGCGAGUCAUCAGCUCGCAUUGAAUACGUCCCUGCCCUUUGUACACACCGCCCGUCGCUCCUACCGAUGAAUGUUCCGAUGAAAUUUUCGGAGAGCGCCGGAGAACGGGGCUCUGCCCUGCAGAACUGGAGGCUCAAAGUCACUUAAAUCUGAACAUUUCGAGGAAGGAGAAGUCGUAACAAGGUAACC